CAUAUUGAUAACACUGCUGGUUGUCACACAGCUAUUAUUGAGGUAAUCUAUAUUUAGAGCUAACAUUGGUUUAAAUUAAAUUAUGGUAAUUAAUUUAAGUUAAGUUAAUGACUCUUAGUUAAGUUGAUGGUAUUAGUCAUUGUGUUGUGACACUUAUAGGUGUAUUCAUUAGAUAUGCAUUUUGGCAACUGGCAUUAUAUUUCAAACUAGGCAUUGGUUGUUAUAUGGUUGGUGACAUGAAUGACAGUAACUGAGUUAUAUAAUUAGUAUACUGUGUGUGUGUGUGUGUGUGUGUGUGUGUGUGUGUGUGUGUGUGUGUGUGUGUGUGUGUGUGUGUGUGUGUGUGUGUGUGUGUAUUCAUAUGGCUGUUUACUCAAUUGGAAAAGUGUCAUCUACUAGCAUUGGUACAUUCAAGACACAUUAAUGCAUGAACUACUAUCGUCCUAGCAAUGAUGAGAUAGAGGAUAAUUUCUUGGACAAGAAACUCCUAUCUUUGCCUCAUUUGAUUCUAGUGUAUAUAUUGAGUAACUGGUAUUUCAUUGGGGUGGACAAGGUCUGUGACUGUUGUUGUCGACAAGAACUGUCUGGCUUGCUGCAUUGUGGGUGUUCUGACCAUUACUGAUGGCCAUGUGAAAAAUGUGAGAGCGUUACCUGGGCCAUCAAGCUACACCUGGUACUGAAAUAAUCCAGGUAGCCAAGCAUGGUGUUUGUCCUUUUGUUGGCUAUGCCACAUUACUGGUUGAUGACACUUGAAAGACACCAUGUAUUUGAGACAACAGCAAAAUCAACAUGGUCCUUAAUACUUCUAAAAUGAUCUGUUGCCAGCCAGCUGACAGUUGUUUGGCUGAAAUUCUUUGUCAACAUUAUUAAUUAACAAUGAGUUGAUGUCUGCUACUUGUUAUGAGUUCAUUUGAAGCCAUGCUCUAACUAGAAGAAGG
Molecule: long non-coding RNA, 938 nt
Organism: Corticium candelabrum
Lineage: Eukaryota; Metazoa; Porifera; Homoscleromorpha; Homosclerophorida; Plakinidae
Exons: 4
Source: RefSeq, a predicted model, not a curated record